UACGUAGGGCGCAAGCGUUAUCCGGAAUUAUUGGGCGUAAAGAGCUCGUAGGCGGUUUGUUGCGUCGGCUGUGAAAUCCCGAGGCUCAACCUCGGGUCUGCAGUCGAUACGAGCAAACUAGAGUGUUGCAGGGGAGACUGGAAUUCCUGGUGUAGCGGUGAAAUGCGCAGAUAUCAGGAGGAACACCAGUGGCGAAGGCGGCUUCCUGGACACUAACUGACGCUGGAGACGCGAAAGCGUUGGGGAGCAAACAGG
RNAcentral lists this ribosomal RNA (255 nucleotides) under uncultured bacterium. RNAcentral's name for it is "partial 16S ribosomal RNA". It matches the Rfam family "Bacterial small subunit ribosomal RNA", at positions 524 to 776 of the family's 1533-position model. The record is from RNAcentral.